AAACCAACAGGGAUUGCCUCAGUAACGGCGAGUGAAGCGGCAAAAGCUCAAAUUUGAAAUCCCCCGGGAAUUGUAAUUUGAAGGACCUAUUAAAACCCUGAGAGAGCCCAAAGUCCAUUGGAAAAUGGCGCCAUAGAAGGUGAUAGCCCUGUGUGGACCUCUCUCAGCAUACUUUUUAGGCCCAAAGAGUCGAGUUGUUUGGGAAUGCAGCUCUAAGUGGGUGGUAAAUUCCAUCUAAAGCUAAAUAUUGGCGAGAGACCGAUAGCGAACAAGUACAGUGAUGGAAAGAUGAAAAGCACUUUGAAAAGAGAGUGAAAAAGUACGUGAAAUUGUUGAAAGGGAAGGGCUUGCAAGCAGACACAACCUCGGUUGGGCCAGCAUCGGGGCGGGGGGAAACAAAAAAGGUGUGGAAUGUGGCUCUUACGAGUGUUAUAGCCCCACCCAAUAUUUCCAUCCCAUCCCGAGGCCUGCGAUUCUUCAAGGAUGCUGGCGUAAUGGUUGCAAGUCGC
This 509-nucleotide ribosomal RNA is filed under the name Metschnikowia rancensis. RNAcentral's name for it is "partial large subunit ribosomal RNA". It matches the Rfam family "Eukaryotic large subunit ribosomal RNA", at positions 62 to 648 of the family's 3401-position model. The record is from RNAcentral. Lineage: Eukaryota; Fungi; Ascomycota; Pichiomycetes; Serinales; Metschnikowiaceae.